This is a long non-coding RNA of Cygnus olor (mute swan), 606 nucleotides long. RefSeq lists it as uncharacterized. The record is from RefSeq and is a predicted model, not a curated record. The transcript has 2 exons. Lineage: Eukaryota; Metazoa; Chordata; Aves; Anseriformes; Anatidae.
ACAGGACACUGCUGCCUUGCUCCCCCUGUGCCAGCUCCGGUGUUGAUCUCACCCCACAGUGGUCCAGUUUGCUUCACUAAAUCAUCGGAAAGCUCAUCUUCGGGGUUAUUUUUUCUACUAGUUUAUCAGGCUGAGUCAGGAGAUGGUGGAGGCAGGCUGCGUUGGCAAGUUUAAAAAGCAACUGCAGAAAUGCCUGGCCAGCUGGCCAUGGACAGGUACAAAAGGAAAAUGUGUGCUAAAAGGACCCGUGAACAUCUCCAGUCCUGGACAGUCUGCGAGUUUGAAGCACACGGACCGCCGAGAGUGGCCAGGCUCAUCUGCCCGCUCCAAAACAGCAUCUGCUGUAGUCUGCUGGAGAGAAAAUAUGAGUCAGAGGGAACGCUGGGCUAACCCAGUCCAACAUUUCUCGUGUUUUCAAACAAUACCAGAAUUGUUAAAUACAGGGGUUUGCAAGUUCUGUUUGUCUAAAUGCAACACGUUUACGCUUGUAUAUCAAGUGCUACGUGGAAGGUUUAGAAAUCAUAAUACAGAUAUAAAUAUACUGUCGUGUUGACAGGUCCAACAAGCAAAACCUAGAGGACUUGGGAAUAAACUGGUACACCCUCA